CCCUUGUGGGGGGGCCCCUCCACUACCCAACCUACCGCCCUUUCCUCCCCCCUCCCCACCCCCUGGCUGUGACUGCUGUAAGGUGGGGUUAUAGAGAGAGGCUGGGUGAUUCUUACCCGGGUUGUAAAGCUGGACUAUGUUAUAACGCACAAAGUAAGCUGGCCCCAGGGGGAGCCAGAGGGUGAGGGGUACCCUUAUCUUCCUUUUUCCUUCCUCUUUCUGCCCGAGCUUGUGCUGCAGUUGAACCUCUUCCUGUGGGUGGCAGUAGGGUAGAGGGUGUGUGAGGCCUCAGACCCCUCUCUGGUAGGGAGCCGAGGGGAUGAGAUGAAGCUUCUAUGCAGUUCUCUCCUGGGGCUGUGGGCAAAGGGCAUUUUGUAAUUAAUAUUCUCAAGAAUCAGAUAAUCUGGACUGUAGAGAUGGGCUGGAUGGUGGCACAUGGGCAGGCCUGCUGGAGGGGUAGAGCGGUUGCUGUUGUGAUUUUAGGUUUUUGUUUUGUUUUAAACUUGGGGGAUUGUGGAUUGAUGGGGGUAGGGAGAUUUUUUUCUUUUUUUUUUUUCUGGCUUUUUUUUUUUUUUUUUUUAAGCUGCUUCCUCAACUGUUUCAAGCUGCAAAUGUUUAUGAGAAUAACAACUCCCUACACACUCCCACAGAAACCAUUGUAAUUAGAUCAGACAGUGGGAAAACUGGGCUUGCUGUCCCCAAAGCCACAGAGCUGAAAGGUCUAGGCAUUAGUUGGGGGGUUGGGGGGGGAGAUUGUCUCCUGUGAGUGGGGCUCUGGCUGGGGCUUGGGCCCUAGAACUGGGAACGGAGAAGGGGCAGACUUUGUAAGCAUAUGCUAGGUAUCCGAUAGUCCUGUAGAAUUUAGUGAAGAAACCUUAUACAGCUUUUAAUUUUUAUAUAAACUAUAACUCAGACCCACGCUACAAGGUUGGAAUUUUGGUUGUUGUUGGUUUUUUUUUUUUUUUAAGUACCCCGCCUGUAUAAUUGCAUCAGAAUCCCACCCCCAACCCCGCCCCCUGUUUGUAUUUUGGGUUGGUUUACACUUGCACAUACUCAAUUUUCAGUUUCUCCCUUUUACCUUCUACCCUCACCUCCAGGACCCUCCCCCUUCUUAAAAAAAUAAAUCGCUGACAAGUGUGAAUCCCGUGAAGAACUUUAUUUUGUGUUGUGUGUAUCCUGUACAGCAAGGUUGGUCCUUCGUAACAACGGAUGAAAUGGUUCCCUUUUUUAAAGCGCUCUCUCUUCCUCCACCCCCAGCGCCCCUGUCCUUGGCAUGUUUUGUAUCAGCGAUCAUUCUGAACUGUACAUAAUUUAUGUUGCGAGAGGCAAAGGGCAAGUUUUGGAUUUUGCUUCUUCAAAGUUUGUUUUUAAACGAUAAAUAAAAAAAGAACAUUUUAAAUACAAAA
RNAcentral lists this long non-coding RNA (1406 nucleotides) under Rattus norvegicus (Norway rat). RNAcentral's name for it is "long non-coding RNA NONRATT031204". The record is from RNAcentral. Lineage: Eukaryota; Metazoa; Chordata; Mammalia; Rodentia; Muridae.